This 465-nucleotide ribosomal RNA is filed under the name uncultured bacterium. RNAcentral describes it as "partial 16S ribosomal RNA". It matches the Rfam family "Bacterial small subunit ribosomal RNA", at positions 28 to 507 of the family's 1533-position model. The record is from RNAcentral.
GACGAACGCUGGCGGCGUGCUUAACACAUGCAAGUCGAACGGAAAGGCCCUGCUUGCAGGGUACUCGAGUGGCGAACGGGUGAGUAACACGUGGGCGAUCUGCCCUGCACUUCGGGAUAAGCCUGGGAAACUGGGUCUAAUACCGGAUAGGAGCCAUUUUUAGUGUGAUGGUUGGAAAGUUUUUUCGGUGUAGGAUGAGCUCGCGGCCUAUCAGCUUGUUGGUGGGGUAAUGGCCUACCAAGGCGGCGACGGGUAGCCGGCCUGAGAGGGGGGACGGCCACAUUGGGACUGAGAUACGGCCCAGACUCCUACGGGAGGCAGCAGUGGGGAAUAUUGCACAAUGGGCGCAAGCCUGAUGCAGCGACGCCGCGUGGGGGAUGACGGCCUUCGGGUUGUAAACUCCUUUCGAGAGGGACGAAGCUUUGUGUGACGGUACCUAGAUAAGAAGCACCGGCUAACUACGUG